Molecule: non-coding RNA, 3660 nt
Organism: Lolium perenne
Lineage: Eukaryota; Viridiplantae; Streptophyta; Magnoliopsida; Poales; Poaceae
Source: RefSeq, a predicted model, not a curated record
CCUCCUAUCGGCAUCCUGCACCUCGGUGCUCAUCUCCAAUGAGAAGGACAUGGUGGGCGACCGACCGGCCGGAGUCAAGCUGUUGCAGGUGAUGGGCCGCUCCAGCAAUCUUCUCCGCCCUAGGAUUCUUUCUUCAAGGCCCCUGUACAGCCUCCCAAGGUGGCCAUCGGCACGGCUGGCGGUGCGGUGGAGGAGCUCGGCGCCCUCCUCUCCCCUCAGGUGGCUGGCGGAGAGCAGGAUUUUAGGAGCAGGUGCGGGCCACGGACGGCGACCAUGGGGAGGAGCAGCCACGGGACAGGGACGAACACCUCGGGGCGGUGGCGGCGUGGGCCUCUGGCGGUGACCUCGGGGCGGAGUAGGCGCGGGCCGGGGACGGCAACCUUGCCGUCGUGCGGAUGGAGGCACCGAUCGGCUGGCUCAGGUGGUCCGGCGACGCCAUCCAUGCCAUCACACAUCAUCCACCGAAUUACUACAUGCUGAGCGAUCUCGGGCGCGUCGUCUGUCUUGGUCGCCGGAACGCAGGCAACCUGCUCUGGAAUCUCUACGUCUUUUCUGCAGCCUUCCUGGAGAUGGACACAUCCGGGUUCUAGCAACACUACCCAAUUUUCAGCCAUUUGUAUUCUGUAUUGCAAGUUGUGGCAUAUUGAUCAAAUAAAAUUUUCAGCAAUAGAAACUGAUCCUUCUUUUUGGUGACUUUAGGUUCUGAGUAGCCUAAAGAACAAGGCCCACAUCGAUAUGAUUACCAUGUUGGAUUCAAAAUCAUCAGGAGUGGAGAAUUAAGAUGCAAUAAGCAUGUUGAUUACAUUACAUAUAUGCCUCACGACACAAGAGGUUCCAGGUCUAAUGGCAUUAAAGAGUGCCUUCAGGAGAACCCAUAGUUAUCUCUUAUACAUCACUGCUCAGCUGUAUUCUUUAUGGUACUUACACACUUGGUUAUGGAAGUGACAUGGCAUCUGGAAGGUUUGAUUUUAGUACGAUGAUGGUUCGGCUAUCACUAUCCAAGUUGUGCUCCCAGGUAUGUUUACACACUUGGUUAUAGUAUCAACUGGACUCAGUUACUUCAGAAAAUAGCUAUGUAUAUGAAAUGUAACACAUACCUAAUGGUGUCCUGGUACAACAACACGUUCUGCUCCGCUGGACGCCCUCAUCACCGGCAUAUCUACCAUAGCAUGCACUCUCGACACUGGUAUCGACAGUAUUGUUGUCCUCGCAGGGAUUGUGCAUGCAGAAACUCCUGAAGGCGAAGCACGUGCCAAGGUGAACGAUCAGGAGAGGUGGAGAUCAUCAGAACUAGCUCACCUCAGCCGGAAAAGUGAUUACAAUGACACAACCAGGCCAGGUUGUUGUGACCUGCAACCCACAGGAAACAAUCUUAGAAAGUGACAACAAGAAAUGGAGAAACUUAGGAACUGCUACUGCAUCAACUAAAAAAGGUAUACUUUAAGGACAUCUACAUACAAGCUAUACUAACUCAAUGUAUAUUCUUUUUCAGCAGUGCAGCUCAUGAGAAGAAAAAAUCAUCCAAGGAUUUGUUAUAUGUGAACUCGACAGAUGCUUCAAUUUCUUUUAUCCUCUUUUGAAUCAAUAAGAAAAGAGGAUGCUGAAACUGUUCUCCUCGGUCUCCUUCUAUUUUUUAGAUGGUUGAUUACUUCCUUGAUCUUUUUGUUAUACAUAUAUGUAACCGAGUAAGACUUUCAAAAUUUACUUCAUGCUUGCUGUCACACCUCAUGUAAAUUGUUUCCCGAUUGGUAAUGGAGAAAUUACUGAAAUCAGAAUGUCCAGAUAAAGCCACAUGGAGAUCAAGUUUAUAAAUAAAUGUUCCUAUGUCAUGGCAAGCAAGUAUAUGCAUUUUGUAGUUGGUUGAUGCCCAAAAGCAGUUUAUCCUUUACAAGGCAUGAUGCUAAUUUUCUAUAUAUGCAGGCCAAGUUUAUAAAUUGUGAAGGGAUUCUCAAACAGCCGUGAAAAAUACAUGGAGCAUGCGUGGACCCAAUAGGAAAAUAAAAAAGUUGGCGAUAAUAUGAAUUUCUAUCCUCCAUUUAGGCAACAGAAUAUGAUAUUUGAUUUGGUUUAUUUCUAUAUUUUUGGAUGGAGUUACAGCUUUUCUAUCUAUUUUAGUCGGUACAUUUUCUGGUGAGACCACUCCUUUAAACAAACUUCUGCUUCCUUUGUUUGGUCAUGAUGGCUCGGGCAUGCCCUAUGAUUUCGAUUCUUGAAUACUUGAUGUAUUCGUGCACCCAUUUAUCUAGCGGAACAAAGUAGCAAAGGUACCAUGCAGGUAAUUGUAGCUUCACCUACUGUUUUGGUGAAAACACGAAAGCAAGGAUUGGUAAGUAACCACCCAGUUCCUUCAGUUAGAAUUGUUUCCUUAGAUUUCUCUAACCACCUCCUCAUGUUCUAUUACCUUAUAGAAUUACUGACCAUUUAAUCAGAGAGAGGAAACCAUGGCGGAUGCUUAAAUUACAACAUCUAAUGAAAUAUGAUUAUUUAAAAUAGAAAAAUAACCAGUAUAUCUUUUAGUGCCCUCUACGUGCACAAUUGCCAGGAGAAUAAAAUGCAUGUGUGUGUUUUAUUUUACUCUCUUGCAAUCCUUUUCCACUGAACUGCAUGACUCCAGCAAAUACUGUAGAUUUAUUCUAGCAACACAAUUAUAAUACAUGGUAAAAAGAUUCCAAACAAUUUUCCCGUUUACAGUGAAUUGGUCGGUUAGUUACUUAGCCCUCUGUGUUGCCACCGAUCUCAGUUUUAAAUUUCACAUCAGCGAGCAAAGCAGCACGUUCAGGCACCUGCUAUUCUAUUUCUGUAAGCUUAUUUAAUACUCCAGCUCAGCCUUUGCCAUUGCUUUCACCUCCCACAUGAUUUCAUUUCCUCCCAUUUGCCCCUCCCCCAUCAUUUUUGGUUUCCCGGCGUGGACCUAUAAUGGCCACCACCCGUCGCCAUGAUUAAAAAAACCCUUCCUCCUGACCUUGACGACCACUGGUGCACAUUGGUGCAUGUCAUGCCAUGACAUGACAAUGUCAAAGUCAGCCGUGCCAAUGGUUUGGUACAUAAUUGUUUCUACACUCCGAUUCUUAUUCAGAUAUGCACAUACAUGUGAUUCCAGGUCUGCAACGAGAAACUGCAGUACUAUAAUAUGCACAACCCAGUAUGAUGGAUCUUCUGAUAUAUUGUGCACCCAAAAAAACAUCAACAGCAAAGCCUUUUUCCCAGGCAAGUUGGGGUAGACUAGAUAUGAAAGCCCAACAGAAAUAAAAGGAAGCCAAAACAAUAACGAGAUGGAAGAAGAGCGUAAACUAUGAUUCCGGCAGAUUCUGGCAUAUAUUGUGUACUAUACUUCAAAAAUAUUUUUCAUGACAUGGUUUACACUCUUCCUCGCCACCCUUGCCUUUUUGUCUAUAUCUUUCAUCUUUAGGUUGGACUUCAGGUAGAGCAUCGUGGGAACCAACUACUGAAGGUGUUGUUGUAUGAGUCUGCUUGCAAAGAUAGAGAAGCAAGGUCACCUUCACCCUUCACAGGGAUGGUUGUUCUCUUGUGGUACCGUACAGCUGUUCCCUCUGGUCAUUUGCAUUGUACAAGCUAAGACUAUUUUUGUAAAUUAGAAACCACAGAUAGCUAUUGGUUAUGUUAUCUUAAGCCUUUAUUCGAAUUUGAGCCUUGAAUAUA